RNAcentral lists this ribosomal RNA (109 nucleotides) under Bacillus mojavensis. RNAcentral also lists the same sequence under 6 other names. The record is from RNAcentral. Lineage: Bacteria; Bacillati; Bacillota; Bacilli; Caryophanales; Bacillaceae.
GCGAUAGCGAAGAGGUCACACCCGUUCCCAUGCCGAACACGGAAGUUAAGCUCUUCAGCGCCGAUGGUAGUCGGGGGUUUCCCCCUGUGAGAGUAGGACGCCGCCAAGC